Molecule: ribosomal RNA, 427 nt
Filed under: uncultured bacterium
Lineage: Bacteria
Description: partial 16S ribosomal RNA
Rfam family: Bacterial small subunit ribosomal RNA
Source: RNAcentral
UGGGGAAUAUUGCACAAUGGGCGCAAGCCUGAUGCAGCCAUGCCGCGUGUAUGAAGAAGGCCUUCGGGUUGUAAAGUACUUUCAGCGGGGAGGAAGGUGUUGAGGUUAAUAACCUCAGCAAUUGACGUUACCCGCAGAAGAAGCACCGGCUAACUCCGUGCCAGAAGCCGCGGUAAUAAGGAGGGUGCAAGCGUUAAUCGGAAUUACUGGGCGUAAAGCGCACGCAGGCGGUCUGUCAAGUCGGAUGUGAAAUCCCCGGGCUCAACCUGGGAACUGCAUUCGAAACUGGCAGGCUAGAGUCUUGUAGAGGGGGGUAGAAUUCCAGGUGUAGCGGUGAAAUGCGUAGAGAUCUGGAGGAAUACCGGUGGCGAAGGCGGCCCCCUGGACAAAGACUGACGCUCAGGUGCGAAAGCGUGGGGAGCAAACA